RNAcentral lists this small RNA (125 nucleotides) under Serratia marcescens. RNAcentral describes it as "RtT sRNA". It matches the Rfam family "RtT RNA". Rfam says of the family: This family represents a bacterial cis-regulatory element known as RtT RNA. The exact function of RtT is unknown although it is thought that it may be involved in changing the cellular response in relation to amino acid starvation. The record is from RNAcentral. Lineage: Bacteria; Pseudomonadati; Pseudomonadota; Gammaproteobacteria; Enterobacterales; Yersiniaceae.
CCUGUCGUUUAUGAGGAUGAGCACCUCCGCAGGAGGUUCGAGCCUCGCGAAGCGAGACAACGUUGCUUUGGCAACGGCCCGCAGGGCGCGCAUCAACGAUGCGCGUAAUCCUCUCUCGCCGACCA